GACGAACGCUGGCGGCGUGCUUAACACAUGCAAGUCGAACGAAGUGGCGAACGGGUGAGUAAUACGUGGGUAACCUGCCCUCCUUUUUGGGAUAAGCCUUGGAAACGGGGUCUAAUACCGAAUACAGGGGGAUGGGCUCGCGGCCUAUCAGCUUGUUGGUGGGGUGAUGGCCUACCACGGCGGUGACGGGUAGCCGGCCUGAGAGGGGGGCCGGCCACAUUGGGAAUGAGAGACGGCCCAGAGUCCGACGGGAGGGAGCAGGGGGGGAGAUUGCAAGAGGGGCGAAAGCCUGAUGCAGCGACGCCGCGUGGGGGAUGAAGGCUUGGGGGUGGUAAACCUCUUUCGCGAUCGAACGGGUGGGUGGAGAAGAAGCGCCGGCUAACUACGUGACAGCAGCCGCGGUAAUUC
RNAcentral lists this ribosomal RNA (408 nucleotides) under uncultured bacterium. Its description in RNAcentral is "partial 16S ribosomal RNA". It matches the Rfam family "Bacterial small subunit ribosomal RNA", at positions 28 to 526 of the family's 1533-position model. The record is from RNAcentral.